Molecule: ribosomal RNA, 515 nt
Filed under: uncultured bacterium
Lineage: Bacteria
Description: partial 16S ribosomal RNA
Rfam family: Bacterial small subunit ribosomal RNA
Source: RNAcentral
GACGAACGCUGGCGGCGUGCCUAAUACAUGCAAGUCGAGCGAUGAUUAAAGAUAGCUUGCUAUUUUUAUGGAGAGCGGCGAACGGGUGAGUAACGCGUGGGAAAUCUGCCGAGUAGCGGGGGACAACGUUUGGAAACGAACGCUAAUACCGCAUAACAAUGAGAAUCGCAUGAUUCUUAUUUAUAAGAAGCAAUUGCUUCACUACUUGAUGAUCCCGCGUUGUAUUAGCUAGUUGGUAGUGUAAAGGACUACCAAGGCGAUGAUACAUAGCCGACCUGAGAGGGUGAUCGGCCACACUGGGACUGAGACACGGCCCAGACUCCUACGGGAGGCAGCAGUAGGGAAUCUUCGGCAAUGGGGGCAACCCUGGCCGAGCAACGCCGCGUGAGUGAAGAAGGUUUUCGGAUCGUAAAACUCUGUUGUUAGAGAAGAACGUUAAGUAGAGUGGAAAAUUACUUAAGUGACGGUAUCUAACCAGAAAGGGACGGCUAACUACGUGCCAGCAGCCGCCGCGG